UGGGUGUGGUGAAGCUGCUCCUGGAAGCCGGUGCCUUUGUGGACCAUCACCACCCUUCGGGCGAGCAACUGGGGUUGGGCGGCAGCAGGGAUGAGCCCUUGGACAUCACGGCCCUGAUGGCUGCCAUCCAGCAUGGGCACGAGGCCGUAGUGCGUCUACUGAUGGAGUGGGGUGCGGACCCCAACCGCGCAGCCCGGACCGUGGGCUGGAGCCCGCUGAUGCUGGCCGCACUCACUGGGCGGCUUGGAGUGGUCCAGCAGCUGGUGGAGAAGGGCGCUAACCCUGACCACCUCAGCGUGCUGGAGAAGACCGCCUUCGAGGUUGCACUGGACUGCAAGCACAGGGACCUUGUAGACUACCUGGACCCGCUGACCACCGUCAGGCCCAAAACAGAUGAGGAGAAAAGGCGACCUGAUAUUUUCCAUGCAUUGAAAAUGGGAAACUUCCAGCUGGUCAAAGAGAUUGCCGAUGAAGACCCCAGCCACGUGAACUUGGUCAAUGGGGACGGGGCGACGCCACUGAUGUUAGCAGCUGUUACGGGGCAGCUGGCUCUGGUGCAGCUACUGGUGGAGAGGCACGCGGAUGUUGACAAGCAGGACAGCGUGCAUGGCUGGACGGCCCUCAUGCAGGCAACCUACCAUGGGUC
This 646-nucleotide small RNA is filed under the name Pongo abelii (Sumatran orangutan). Its description in RNAcentral is "processed transcript". The record is from RNAcentral. Lineage: Eukaryota; Metazoa; Chordata; Mammalia; Primates; Hominidae.